GAUGAACGCUAGUUACAGGCUUAACACAUGCAAGUCGAGGGGUAGCAGGGUAGCAAUACCGCUGACGACCGGCGCACGGGUGAGUAACACGUAUCCAACCUUCCCAUUACUCGGGGAUAGCCUUUCGAAAGAAAGAUUAAUACCCGAUAGUACUUUAUUAAGGCAUCUUAAGAAAGUUAAAGAUUUAUUGGUUAUGGAUGGGGAUGCGUUCCAUUAGAUAGUUGGUGAGGUAACGGCGCACCAAGUCUUCGAUGGAUAGGGGUUCUGAGAGGAAGGUCCCCCACAUUGGUACUAGGACACGGACCAAACUCCUACGGGAGGCAGCAGUGAGGAAUAAUGGUCAAUGGGCGAGAGCCUGAACCAGCCAAGUAGCGUGAAGGAUGAAGGUCCUAUGGAUUGUAAACUUCUUUUAUAGUAGAAUAAAGUGAACCACGUGUGGUUUUUUGUAUGUAUACUAUGAAUAAGGAUCGGCUAACUCCGUGCCAGCCGCCGCCGUAA
RNAcentral lists this ribosomal RNA (498 nucleotides) under uncultured bacterium. RNAcentral describes it as "partial 16S ribosomal RNA". It matches the Rfam family "Bacterial small subunit ribosomal RNA", at positions 28 to 523 of the family's 1533-position model. The record is from RNAcentral.